UCAUCAUGUAUCAAAUUUUCCUACAAAUCAAACUGCUUCACGCAAUCACCUCAUCUCAAUCUCAUCAUUAAACUAAACCAAAAGCCAUCACCCACCACUAUAUAUAUCUCUCUUCACAUCCCCUCAUCACCACCACACUACAAACUCUUGCUGUCCAAAAUGAGCUUACUUAAAUCCCUCCUUUCCUUCCUUGUUGCUACCCUUUACUUCACCUUUGCCGAUGCGGCCACAUUUGACAUAACCAACAAAUGCCCUUACACAGUCUGGGGAGCUGCCUCUCCCGGCGGUGGCAAGGAACUCAAAACCGGUGAGACAUGGACCAUUAGUGCUAAUCCUGGAACUACCGAAGCACGCAUUUGGGCUCGUACCAACUGUCAAUUUGAUGCUUCUGGGAAAGGCAAGUGCGAGACUGGUGAUUGCAAUGGGCUUCUUGUUUGUCAAGGCUACGGUGCAGCCCCUAACACCUUAGCCGAAUACGCACUAGACCAGUUUGAACACCAAGAUUUUAUCGAUAUCUCUGUGAUUGAUGGGUUUAACGUUCCUAUGGAGUUUAGUUCAGCUUCAGGAAGCUGCACCAGAGUGAUCAAAUGCACUGCUGAUAUUAUUGGGCAAUGUCCUAAUGAAUUGAAGGUCCCUGGAGGGUGCAAUGGUCCAUGCCCCGUCUUCAAGACUGAGGAGCAUUGUUGCAAUUCUGGCAAAUGUAGCCCUACAAAUUACUCCAAGUAUUUCAAGGAAAGGUGCCCGGAUGCUUAUAGUUACCCGAUGGAUGACCCUAAAAGUCUGUUUACUUGCCCUACUGGCACUAACUAUAAGGUUAUAUUCUGCCCUUGAAGCAAAUUGGAGUAUUAAUUAAUGGAAGUAUUUUAUAGUUAUACCAUAAUUUAGUAAUAUGGGAGCUCAAUAUGGCUAGCUUCUUGAGCACAUGUAGCAUUGUGCAAAUGUUUGUAUACUUUUGAGCAUCAAUAAAUGUUGAGUACGAGUGACUAUUAUAAUAAUAAAUUAAUUUACAAAUUAAAA
This 1017-nucleotide unclassified non-coding RNA is filed under the name Hevea brasiliensis (rubber tree). The record is from RNAcentral. Lineage: Eukaryota; Viridiplantae; Streptophyta; Magnoliopsida; Malpighiales; Euphorbiaceae.